GUCACAUCCUCUUUCCGUUGCUCCUCUCGCUUUGAGAAACUUCUCCUCACGAUGAGAGCCAAGGUGAGUAAACCAUCAAAUAUCUGUUAUUUGUGAUUUAUACUCUUCCUGUUUCACUCAAUGUUGCUCACUAGCAUCCGAAUAGCACCACCUCGGCCUCUUUGUCGUAUAUUCACUGCAAAUGUUUAUUUAACCGUGCCCUGUCAUGCUUACGUUUUUAAAUGUAAAUCUGACCUUAAAGUAAAUUUAAAACUUUUGAAAUUGGGAAAUUUAAUGCCACUGCGCACGGAAGGCCCUCUUUCGUUGCAUGUGCUAAUGGUCGCAAUGGGAACGUCCACACUCCGAUGUGUUUAUGGCCACAGUUCCACUCUAAGUGUUUGACUAACAUUAGUGUUCACUUCAUUUCACCGUAGUACCACUUCAGUUGAAUUCUGCGUAGUUUGUGUGCAGCGUGCUGUUAAGCGGGUGCGCCGGAGUGGCGCACGUGACUACAGUUUUUGUAUUAUAAUAAAUAUCCAUCUUGUCUUUCAGUGGAGGAAGAAGCGUAUGCGCAGGCUGAAGCGUAAAAGGAGAAAGAUGAGGCAGAGGUCCAAGUAGAUCUUCUCCCUGCCAGCUGUGAUUCCCGUCGGCGCUUCUCCAGUUGACUGACUCUGGUUUAAGUGGAGCCUCCAUCAGUGGACCCGAAGCCCAAGCCGUGAUUUCUGAUGACUGCGCAUCUCAUGGACACUUCUGUGGAUGGCUGAUUGGAAAAGGCAAAGACGCUGGACUAUCGACAUAAGAACAGCAGCUACAUUGUUCACGGAUCAUUACACAUAUUUACCAACUGUCAUGUGGUGAUGAACAAUAAACGAACACUGUUUAAAACUUAACACUGUUAACUCUUGAUUCCAACUAUUUACCUAUUGGUAAAGCUCUUGUUUGACUGGCAGUAUGAAAAAUUGGCGUUGCCAGUUCUAGAUUGAGUCGCCCUUGCAUUUGUAAACUUGAUACAAGGGGCGACACUAAACAUUAGUUGGUAUUCUGUAUACAUAGUCCAUACUUUAGUCAAUGUACAGACUGGCUAAAUUUAAAUGUCAACCUAGCUUUUAAUGGUAACUUCUAAUUUAGAAUAACUGAGGCUUACAGCAGGGAAACUAGCUUGGCAGUCUUUAAGCUCUUUUGCCAAUUUGGCUUUAUCCCAUGGUGUGUUGAUCAAACAAAUAUUGGGUGCCUUAAAAAUCCUUCUCUUGGAAUCAAUUAUAAAUCCCUGGAUUUCCC
Molecule: long non-coding RNA, 1257 nt
Organism: Gasterosteus aculeatus aculeatus (three-spined stickleback)
Lineage: Eukaryota; Metazoa; Chordata; Actinopteri; Perciformes; Gasterosteidae
Source: Ensembl